This 230-nucleotide ribosomal RNA is filed under the name uncultured bacterium. RNAcentral describes it as "partial 16S ribosomal RNA". It matches the Rfam family "Bacterial small subunit ribosomal RNA", at positions 567 to 791 of the family's 1533-position model. The record is from RNAcentral.
AAGACGUGCGUAGGCGGCCAUUCAAGUCAGAGGUGAAAGCCCAGGGCUCAACCCUGGAACUGCCUUUGAAACUAGAUGGCUGGAACACGGGAGAGGUGAGUGGAAUUCCGAGUGUAGAGGUGAAAUUCGUAGAUAUUCGGAAGAACACCAGUGGCGAAGGCGGCUCACUGGACCGUUGUUGACGCUGAGGCACGAAAGCGUGGGGAGCAAACAGGAUUAGAUACCCGUGU